Molecule: ribosomal RNA, 472 nt
Filed under: uncultured bacterium
Lineage: Bacteria
Description: partial 16S ribosomal RNA
Rfam family: Bacterial small subunit ribosomal RNA
Source: RNAcentral
AGUGAACGCUGGCGGUAGGCCUAACACAUGCAAGUCGAACGGCAGCACAGUAAGAGCUUGCUCUUACGGGUGGCGAGUGGCGGACGGGUGAGGAAUACAUCGGAAUCUACUUUUUCGUGGGGGAUAACGUAGGGAAACUUACGCUAAUACCGCAUACGACCUACGGGUGAAAGCAGGGGAUCUUCGGACCUUGGGCGAUUGAAUGAGCCGAUGUCGGAUUAGCUAGUUGGCGGGGUAAAGGCCCACCAAGGCGACGAUCCGUAGCUGGUCUGAGAGGAUGACAGGCAACGGGGGGAAUGAGAGACGGCCCAGACAGCGAGGGGAGGCAGGAGUGGGGAAUAGUGAAAAAUGGGAGGAAGCAUGAUGAAGCAACGACGAGUGCGGGAGGAGGGCAUUAGGGAUGGAAAAAGCAUGCGCCUGUGAAGAAGGGGGAGUGAAGGGAAAGGGUAAAGAAGCAAAGGCUAAUUACGUG